UGCGCAGGGGGGUUAUUAAGUCAGUGGUGAAAUCUCUCGGCUCAACCGAGAAACUGCCAUUGAAACUGAUAAUCUUGAGUAUAGUUGUAGUAGGCGGAAUAUAGCAUGUAGCGGUGAAAUGCUUAGAUAUGCUAUAGAACACCGAUCGCGAAGGCAGCUUACUAAACUAUUACUGACGCUCAUGCACGAAAGCGUGGGGAGCAAACAGGAUUAGAUACCCUGGUAGUCC
This 229-nucleotide ribosomal RNA is filed under the name uncultured bacterium. RNAcentral's name for it is "partial 16S ribosomal RNA". It matches the Rfam family "Bacterial small subunit ribosomal RNA", at positions 568 to 796 of the family's 1533-position model. The record is from RNAcentral.